CUAAGCCCGAAAAAAAGUGAAAAGCCCGCCUAGGCCCGGUGGACUAUCUAGAAAUUUGGGAAUACACUAUCUCACUAAAAUCCUCCGAUAGUAAGCUUUUUGUUCAUGAUAGUCAUAAUUGCCCAACAUUCUUCUCUCACCCACUUUCUCUCUCUUUUGCAACUCAACUUUACCAUAUCUAUCUUCUGGAGAAGUGACGAGAACCAAACGAUUUCGAAGACUAGCCGCUGUUUGACUGUAGUCUCUCGCCCGUCGACAGAUUUCUUCCUCUGCCAUGUAGAAGAUUUCUUCAUCAACCGUAGAUGAGGAUUUUUCUAACUACAUUAGUUUUUUUUUUAUUUUUCGCAACUCAAUCCAUUUCUCGUGGAUUGGGGUGGGAGCCUGUCGAUUUGUUGUGUGUUCUAUCGGUAAAAUUCUAUGGGUUUGUGUUGUCUUGCAAA
Salvia hispanica is the source of this 440-nucleotide long non-coding RNA. RefSeq lists it as uncharacterized. NCBI's taxonomy places the organism in Eukaryota, Viridiplantae, Streptophyta, Magnoliopsida, Lamiales, Lamiaceae. The record is from RefSeq and is a predicted model, not a curated record.